This 70-nucleotide transfer RNA is filed under the name Stegostoma tigrinum. Its description in RNAcentral is "tRNA-Glu". It matches the Rfam family "tRNA". From Rfam's summary of the family: Transfer RNA (tRNA) molecules are approximately 80 nucleotides in length. Their secondary structure includes four short double-helical elements and three loops (D, anti-codon, and T loops). The record is from RNAcentral. Lineage: Eukaryota; Metazoa; Chordata; Chondrichthyes; Orectolobiformes; Stegostomatidae.
AUUCUUAUAGUUGAAUGAACAACGGUAGUUUUUCAAGUUGCUGGUCUUGGUUGAAGUCCAAGUGGGAAUA